This 396-nucleotide long non-coding RNA is filed under the name Junco hyemalis (dark-eyed junco). RNAcentral describes it as "lncRNA (ENSJHYG00000014912.1)". The record is from RNAcentral. Lineage: Eukaryota; Metazoa; Chordata; Aves; Passeriformes; Passerellidae.
UAAUUAUUAGCUAAUUGGCUGGGAUGUAUCUCAUUUGUAACAAAUGAGGAGAGGAAGGCUCUGAGGCUGUGGCUGGUGGAGGCGGAGCUGUUUAACUCCUGGUUGAGCUGGCAUAAGAAGUUGCUAUCCUGGUCUCUGGGAGGGGGCUCUGUGGUGUGGUGAUGCCUUAUCGAGGUGUGUGUCCACAAGGAUUGGUGGGUGUCACCUGCAGGCUGUCACCCACCAGCCUUUCUUGCUCAUGGACCAGGCUUUUGGAGAUUGCCUGCCACGGUGCUUCAUGGGCUGAUGCCCUCAGCAAGACAGCAGUCAGGGUGUGCUGGACUCGUGGAGACCUCCCUGUGCAGAGAGGAAGCCUUGCCAGCACCUGGCUGUCCUAAGCAUCCAUUUACAGACCUG